Molecule: ribosomal RNA, 480 nt
Filed under: uncultured bacterium
Lineage: Bacteria
Description: bacterial SSU rRNA
Rfam family: Bacterial small subunit ribosomal RNA
Source: RNAcentral
AUGGGCGAAAGCCUGAUGGAGCAACGCCGCGUGGGUGAAGAAGGUCUUCGGAUCGUAAAACCCUGUUGUUAGAGAAGAAAGUGCGUGAGAGUAACUGUUCACGUUUCGACGGUAUCUAACCAGAAAGCCACGGCUAACUACGUGCCAGCAGCCGCGGUAAUACGUAGGUGGCAAGCGUUAUCCGGAUUUAUUGGGCGUAAAGGGAACGCAGGCGGUCUUUUAAGUCUGAUGUGAAAGCCUUCGGCUUAACCGGAGUAGUGCAUUGGAAACUGGGAGACUUGAGUGCAGAAGAGGAGAGUGGAACUCCAUGUGUAGCGGCGAAAUGCGUAGAUAUAUGGAAGAACACCAGUGGCGAAAGCGGCUCUCUGGUCUGUAACUGACGCUGAGGUUCGAAAGCGUGGGUAGCAAACAGGAUUAGAUACCCUGGUAGUCCACGCCGUAAACGAUGAAUGGUAAGUGUUGGAGGGUUUCCGCCCUUCA